Saccostrea echinata is the source of this 1341-nucleotide long non-coding RNA. RefSeq lists it as uncharacterized. Lineage: Eukaryota; Metazoa; Mollusca; Bivalvia; Ostreida; Ostreidae. The transcript has 3 exons. The record is from RefSeq and is a predicted model, not a curated record.
ACAUCAGACUUAAUUUACAUUUUUUUAUUAGGUGUAUAGUGUCUUGAUUACAUGCACUCAUUAAGCUGUUCGUUACGUGGCAGUAAAGCAAGAGUAUUGGGUGUUUAGAAGAAGUAUCUUACAGGAGGAUUAUUUCUUCUGGGAUAGCUUGGAAUUGGAACAAUGCGUCAACUGAAGGGAAAAGUGAAGGAAAACCGAAAGGAGAAAAGAGAGAGGAAACUAGAAAAUCUGAAAAACCAUGACAAUGCCCUUAAGAUAUGCCUGCCUGUCCUCUUAGUUAUUGCAGCCAUUAUUGUAGCUUAUGUUUACGUUUCUACAAGGCCGAAAGCAUAGCAAUGCUCAACAUUAACAUUUAUUCUGAUAGUGAAGAAAUAGUUCUUUGGUUAAGAGACUGUGAGCAAAUAUUUUCUUGGGGCAUUUUUAAAAGAGACUCUUUUUUUGAUGUGUGAGUUCAUUGCCAAGGUUGUAUCCAUGAUAAUUACUCUUACAGGUGCUAAAAAACAGAUUUUUAAUCACGAUUCUCUCAUAAACAUAUCUGUCUUUAAUUUUUUAUGUGUAUAGGUUGAAUAAAUUCCCUACAGCAGUGGCAAAAAAUAUAUUUGAGAUUGAACAUGGGCAUUUUUUUUUUUACAUGUAUAAUUUUAAGAUACAGAUGCAGUAUUGUAUAUAGCUGUUGCUCAGGUGUGCAUAUAUUUUGUACUUACCGGUAUUAAUGUGAUAUAAGAAUAAAUUGUACAUGUAUUAUGAUACAUAUUACUUUCACCUUUCUGUAUGAGAAUUAUUACAGAUUUUAUGUAACUGUGUUUGAGCUGUAAUUUGUUAAUACCUUUGCAGAAAGCAUUUUCAAUUAUGAUAUCAGAUACAUUAGAAUUAGUAGAGAAUAAUAUUUUUGUAAUCCAAUCACAAAUAAAUGUAGUUCGCAAAAAACAGCCAAAUUCCAGUUUAAAUCAUGUUAAAUCUUCAAUUUAUGCUCCUUUGUUUUACAUGUGUAAUUUUUGCUGUUUGUUAUGAAAUGGUACGAGAAACAUCUCAUAGGGACACAUAUGAAAAUCUUAUAAUUCUAAAAUAAGUAUCAUGAAAAAAGUUGGGUGUUUGUGAGAGUUUUUUUUUUCUUUUUAAUUUGCAUAUGACAUGUAUGAGGCAGAUCUCAGUUAUUUUCAAUUGUUGCUUUUUUUGAGGAAUUGCUUUCUGUGCAUGCUUACAUUCAACUUAUUUUUCUUACAGAAGGAAUUAUGACCAUUUAUUGAUGAACAAAAUUGUCCUCUUAAACAACAUCAUUCUUUUAUUCGUAAUUAUACCAAGAUUUUUUAUGUCAUUUUAUAAACCAAGAUUCACUGCACA